Prionailurus viverrinus (fishing cat) is the source of this 1171-nucleotide long non-coding RNA. RefSeq lists it as uncharacterized. The record is from RefSeq and is a predicted model, not a curated record. NCBI's taxonomy places the organism in Eukaryota, Metazoa, Chordata, Mammalia, Carnivora, Felidae. The transcript is spliced from 5 exons.
GGACCCUAGAGGGCGAGGUUCCCAUGGAAACGAGAGAGGCUCUUCGCGCCUGCGCGGACGCGCUAGGCACGGUGGGAAUCGUAGUUUCCGGGCUGCCACCCGGCGGCCAAAGGCACGGACGCGAGAUGGCGCCCGAGCAUCGCGGUGGGUUCCGCGCCUCCGGGGUCGUUUCCCCCACUACCCCCAGGCCGAGCGCUGCCGGCGUAGGAGAGGCCGCGGAGGCCUGAAAGCUCUACACACGACGUGGGGGCUUGAACUCGUGACCCCGAUGUCAAGAGUCGCAUGCAGCACCGACUGAGCCAGACACGGAACCCCCCGGCCCACCUCUUUGGAAGUGACGCUCUCCAGGUCGCUGGUGUCCAGCACCUCCCACAGCUCAGCCCGGAUCGCCUGCUCCAUCCGCUCCUGCUCUGAGGGCCUGGGAGCCGAGCCCGUCAGUCCAAGAGCCCCUUCCCGGCUCCCCCAUGGCACCCUCCCCUCUCCUCCCCUGCCCGCGCUGACCGGCCAGGCUCGGCGCUGGGAGGCCGCAGGGAUUCCAGGUCGGCCAUGGCCAUCCACUCGUUGAGGCAGCUCUGGUCAGAGCUCAGUCUGUCCUGGUAGUAUCCAGCCCAGGCCCUCCAACCGGCUCUGAGAAGAGGAGGCCGGCCGGAGACCGGGGCCGCCCUAACCCUUACCACAUGGUCUGGAUGGAGAUGGGCUUGAAGAUUCGGCUCUGCCCACUGGACGUCACACUGAAGCCCCUGAGGGAGACCAGGUACACCUGGGUGUCACUCCAGAGAGGCAAGACCAGGCCCAGGGUGCAGCUCGGGGAGCUGGCAGGGGACAGAAGAAAAGCCAUUGUUCCCCAGCAUCUCACUUCCUUGCCCCCCUCCCUUCCUCUCCCUGCUCGCACCUGCUGUCGGGGAAAUCCACUCCCAAGAGGACUGUCUCAUCCUGGCUCUGAUGUUCUCUUGUGGAAACUACCAGCAGGUUCCAGAUUGGUAGUUAUAACCCAGUGGCUGCCAACUUUGGGAUUCCAUGGUCCAACAGAAUGUUUAAGAAGAUUUUUCGUGGGGCGCCUGGGUGGCUCAGUCGGUUAAGCGUCCGACUUCGGCUCAGGUCAUGAUCUCACGGUCCGUGAGUUCGAGCCCCGCGUCAGACUCUGUGCUGACAGCUCCGAGCCUGGAGCCUG